AUAAGACCCCUAACAUCACCCAUAAUCUCUCUACAAGUAUUCCAAACAAUACCAUCAUCCCCGACACGAAAUCAAGAAGCAACAACACAAAAUCGAUCCCCACGACGUAAGUAUCACUAUAUUACCUCUCUUUUUCUUUAUAAUUUAAGUAUUGGAAGGUCUUUUGAAGUUAAUAAAAAUGCCUAAUUUCUGGUUGCAAGAUCUUAAAUAUCAAGUAAGGUUGAUUACUUCAUUUUAUAAUAGUUAGAACUAACGGGACGAUGAUCGAAAGCCGUGAGUUCGAGUUAUUUGGUUUGUAAUGGACUGUUUUGUGGGAUGUUUCGUGUUGCUUUUGGGAUGUAUAUUUUGCUGCCAUUAAUGGAUUUUUUGGAGGAUAAAUGAUUUGUAGAAACACCACAUAAUUUUAAAAUGAUGGAUUAGUCAUUCUUUAUAAUAUUUUCGGGGUGUUGGACACUACUAUAGUCGUCGUUCUUGGUAUGAAUUGAUUGGGGUGUGUUCUGCUGUUUUAAGCCAUAUAUAACAUUGAAUUCGACUUGAACCUACUGUAGGAGGCAAUUAUAUUGUGUUCCUACAUGUGCUUAAGGUUAUACUGACAUUCGUUGAGUGAAAUGGAUGAACUAGACAUGAACUAGUGAAUAAUGUUGCUAAUUAAGAAUAAUUGAAGUUGUGGAUCAUUUUCUUUGGUAUGGAUAUAUGGUAUAAGGCUGGAAUUAUUGCUGAAUGAAUUCACUAUCAUGUUAAUGAUGCUACUAAGCUAAAGUUGAAAGUCUAUAAGGAACGAUAUGGGGUAUACGAAUUUCAAUUGGAGCUUGUCGUUCGUCGUCAAAUAAUUAUGACUUGUUGUUAUUUUAUGGUGCCUUGUUAUUGAUAAUUAUGUAUUGUUGGAUUUCUCUGGUAAUUGUGGUUGGUAUAUGGUAUUGCAGGAAGCUAUUUUACAGGGGAGAUGUUGCCCUAAUUUAUAUAAACAAGCUACAAGUUUAAGUUGCAAACUUAGCCUUUAUUCAACAUUGAUUUUGAAUCUCCUUAUGCAAUGGUGGAUUGAAUUGAGUUGUUUGAAGAUUUUCUUGAGAGGUAUCCAGGACUCACCAUGGUUAAGGUAUGUUAAGGCACUUCUGUAUUUCUUUUGGCAUGAUCUAAAAUGAAACGAACAUAAACGAUACGCUACUUCAUAAUGGAUCUACUCCUAAAAACUAAGAUUGUCCAUGUUGUUCUUUCCUUAUAAAGUUAUUCUAAACAAGUGUGUAUGAUCCUUAAAUCCUACUGAGGUUCAUAUUGAUGGUAUGAUUUCCAUAAUGUUAAUCGAAGGUGCAAUGAUCUUACGUCACUCCGAAAGGUCUAGAAUGUGAUUCCAUGAGUCGAGCAUGCAUUAUAUAUAUGUAUCUAUUUUACUCACCGAGCCGAGCUAUAUUCGGCCAGGUACGAUACCUAUUGUGCAACCACUGAUAAGUUGGGUUUACCGAGCUCCACGUGGCCGGGUAUAUUUUUACCGAGUCCUCUUUGAGGCCAGGUACGAUAUGAUGAUGAUGAGGCCCCCAGAGGCGUAAUUUUUUUAAACGUUUAUGUAUAUAUAUAUAUAUAUAUAUAUAUAUAUAUGCAUUUCAUGUCAGGAGCCCCCAGAGGCACUCAGAUGAUCUAGGUUGUAUCUCCUCUAUCUCUCCUUACAUUAUAGUUCUUGCUUAUGUUUUCCUUCCUUACAUACUCGGUACUUUAUUUGUAAUAACAUCCCUUUUGCCUAGGGACACUGCAUUUCAUGCCCGCGGGUUGCGAUUGAUAGAUUGACAGUCUUCCUAGUAGGCUAUCAGCUCAGCGGAGGUGUUGGUGCACUUCACUUGCUCCAGAGUUGCCUAUUUGGUUAGUAUGCUUUGGAUAUGUAUUGAUUGGUAUGAGGGGCCUUAUCCCGACCUUUACGAUUUUAUGUAGUCUUAGAGGCUUGUAGACAAAUGUUAGAUUUAUAGAUACUUGUAUGGCCUUAUCGGCCUAUGUUUUGAAUUUACAAAUGGUCAUGUCGGCCUUAUGGGCAUGUACAUCACAUGUAUAAGUUUUUAAAUUAUGUUACGUUUGUACUCGAUUGAGUAAGGCACCGGGUAUCCAUCUCGGCCCUUUGGUUUGGGUCGUGACAGAAGUGGUAUCAGAGCAGUUAUGUCCUAGG
Molecule: long non-coding RNA, 2149 nt
Filed under: Nicotiana benthamiana
Lineage: Eukaryota; Viridiplantae; Streptophyta; Magnoliopsida; Solanales; Solanaceae
Description: long non-coding RNA (NBEN_LNC027614)
Source: RNAcentral